Molecule: non-coding RNA, 724 nt
Organism: Microcebus murinus (gray mouse lemur)
Lineage: Eukaryota; Metazoa; Chordata; Mammalia; Primates; Cheirogaleidae
Source: RefSeq, a predicted model, not a curated record
UUAAAGAUGACGUCCCCUUUGCGGUUGAGUUUGCACCUUUAGUUCUGGGGAUGAGUUCAAGUCAGGCAGUCGGUGAAAUCAAGAGUCUGGCUACAUGAAAAUCUCCUCCUUCUCAUUCCUUAUGUUGGCAAAGAGGGCGGUGCUGUGGUUUAUGCAGUCGGCAGAGCCUGCAGAGAAAGACCCCCCUAAGCACGGGCUGAAAUGGAGAUAACUUCCAAGCUGUUUAUAUUUUCCCCCCAUGCUAUAUAGUCUCUGAUUGAGAUGACUUUCUCGCCUCUUUGCUCACAUCAUCCCAACAGUCCCUCCGGUGCCCAGAACUCCCUUUCUAAUUACAGCAAACUCCCGGCUGAUCUUGGAAGGGGCUGUAGGACGAGGGGCCCUCCUCUGACGCAUCACUUUUUGGAUCCUGUUUUCUCCAAACUGCUCCCUCUUCUGUCUCUGUCUUCUGUCUCUGCCAAACAACUGUCCACAGUCCUCUGAACCCCAACGUGUAGCUCAGGAACCAAAUUUGUUUGCGGGAAGAAUGGCAGUCUGUCCCGGUGCCUUGGGUGGUGUUCAUGGAAGCUGUCUGAAUGAACUAACAAGUCUGGCCAAUAAGACAGUCGCCGGGCCGAAUCGGGUGACUUGAGCGUGAACUGUCUUCUGUCUUCCGGUGGGCUUGGCAUCACACACGCAGUAAAAGCCUGGCCAUUUAAGAAGGAUCAUUUGUCAACACCUAGGUGGA